This 73-nucleotide transfer RNA is filed under the name Phycisphaera sp. TMED24. Its description in RNAcentral is "tRNA-Lys". It matches the Rfam family "tRNA". Rfam says of the family: Transfer RNA (tRNA) molecules are approximately 80 nucleotides in length. Their secondary structure includes four short double-helical elements and three loops (D, anti-codon, and T loops). The record is from RNAcentral. Lineage: Bacteria; Pseudomonadati; Planctomycetota; Phycisphaerae; Phycisphaerales; Phycisphaeraceae.
GCCCCGUUAGCUNAGUCGGCAGAGCAGCUGACUCUUAAUCAGCGGGUCGUAGGUUCGAGCCCUACACGGGGCA